Molecule: ribosomal RNA, 495 nt
Filed under: uncultured bacterium
Lineage: Bacteria
Description: partial 16S ribosomal RNA
Rfam family: Bacterial small subunit ribosomal RNA
Source: RNAcentral
GACGAACGCUGGCGGCGUGCCUAAUACAUGCAAGUAGAACGCUGAAGGAGGAGCUUGCUUCUCUGGAUGAGUUGCGAACGGGUGAGUAACGCGUAGGUAACCUGCCUGGUAGCGGGGGAUAACUAUUGGAAACGAUAGCUAAUACCGCAUAACAGUAGAUAUCGCAUGAUAUCUACUUGAAAGGUGCAAUUGCAUCACUACCAGAUGGACCUGCGUUGUAUUAGCUAGUUGGUGAGGUAACGGCUCACCAAGGCGACGAUACAUAGCCGACCUGAGAGGGUGAUCGGCCACACUGGGACUGAGACACGGCCCAGACUCCUACGGGAGGCAGCAGUAGGGAAUCUUCGGCAAUGGACGGAAGUCUGACCGAGCAACGCCGCGUGAGUGAAGAAGGUUUUCGGAUCGUAAAGCUCUGUUGUAAGAGAAGAACGAGUGUGAGAGUGGAAAGUUCACACUGUGACGGUAUCUCACCAGAAAGGGACGGCUAACUACGUG